UACGUAGGGUGCAAGCGUUGUCCGGAAUUAUUGGGCGUAAAGAGCUCGUAGGUGGCCUGUCGCGUCGGCUGUGAAAACUCGGGGCUCAACUCCGAGCUUGCAGUCGAUACGGGCAGGCUAGAGUUCGGCAGGGGAGACUGGAAUUCCUGGUGUAGCGGUGAAAUGCGCAGAUAUCAGGAAGAACACCUAUGGCGAAGGCAGCUCUCUGGGACGGUACUGACGCUGAGACGCGAAAGCGUGGGGAGCGAACAGG
Molecule: ribosomal RNA, 253 nt
Filed under: uncultured bacterium
Lineage: Bacteria
Description: partial 16S ribosomal RNA
Rfam family: Bacterial small subunit ribosomal RNA
Source: RNAcentral